RNAcentral lists this ribosomal RNA (647 nucleotides) under Clostridioides difficile. RNAcentral's name for it is "partial 23S ribosomal RNA". It matches the Rfam family "Bacterial large subunit ribosomal RNA", at positions 2153 to 2798 of the family's 2925-position model. The record is from RNAcentral. Lineage: Bacteria; Bacillati; Bacillota; Clostridia; Peptostreptococcales; Peptostreptococcaceae.
GGCUUUGAAACCAGGACGCCAGUUUUGGCGGAGCCAUCCUUGGGAUACCACCCUUGUAGUACUGGGACUCUAACCAUAGGCCAUGAAUCUGGUCUUGGGACACUGUCAGGUGGGCAGUUUGACUGGGGCGGUCGCCUCCCAAAAGGUAACGGAGGCGCUCAAAGGUUCUCUCAGUACGGUCGGAAAUCGUACGUAGAGUGUAAAGGCAAAAGAGAGCUUGAUUGCAAGACAUACAGGUCGAGCAAGGAUGAAAAUCGGACUUAGUGAUCCGGUGGUUCUGCGUGGAAGGGCCAUCGCUCAACGGAUAAAAGCUACCCUGGGGAUAACAGGCUUAUCUCCCCCAAGAGUCCACAUCGACGGGGAGGUUUGGCACCUCGAUGUCGGCUCAUCACAUCCUGGGGCUGUAGUAGGUCCCAAGGGUUGGGCUGUUCGCCCAUUAAAGUGGUACGCGAGCUGGGUUCAGAACGUCGUGAGACAGUUCGGUCCCUAUCCGUCGCAGGCGUAGGAAAUUUGAGAAGACCUGUCCUUAGUACGAGAGGACCGGGAUGGACGUACCUCUGGUGUACCAGUUGUUCUGCCAAGGGCAUGGCUGGGUAGCUAUGUACGGAAUGGAUAAGCGCUGAAAGCAUCUAAGCGCGAAGCCAACU